CGGGUCGUGCCUCCGGCGCUGU
Molecule: non-coding RNA, 22 nt
Filed under: Arabidopsis thaliana (thale cress)
Lineage: Eukaryota; Viridiplantae; Streptophyta; Magnoliopsida; Brassicales; Brassicaceae
Source: RNAcentral